AUCCAGACUCCUACGGGAGGCAGCAGUGAGGGAUAUUGGUCAAUGGGGGGAACCCUGAACCAGCAACGCCGCGUGAGGGAAGACGGUUUUCGGAUUGUAAACCUCUGUCCUCUGUGAAGAUAAUGACGGUAGCAGAGGAGGAAGCUCCGGCUAACUACGUGCCAGCAGCCGCGGUAAUACGUAGGAUCCGAGCAUUAUCCGGAGUGACUGGGUGUAAAGAGUUGCGUAGGUGGCAUAGUAAGUAGCUAGUGAAAUCUGGUGGCUCAACCAUUCAGACUAUUAGCUAAACUGCUAAGCUCGAGACCGUUAGGGGUAACUGGAAUUUCUAGUGUAGGAGUGAAAUCCGUAGAUAUUAGAAGGAACACCGAUAGCGUAGGCAGGUUACUGGGACGGUUCUGACACUAAGGCACGAAAGCGUAGGGAGCAAACGGGAUUAGAUACCCCGGUAA
This 449-nucleotide ribosomal RNA is filed under the name uncultured bacterium. RNAcentral's name for it is "bacterial SSU rRNA". It matches the Rfam family "Bacterial small subunit ribosomal RNA", at positions 329 to 793 of the family's 1533-position model. The record is from RNAcentral.